RNAcentral lists this ribosomal RNA (421 nucleotides) under uncultured bacterium. RNAcentral's name for it is "bacterial SSU rRNA". It matches the Rfam family "Bacterial small subunit ribosomal RNA", at positions 361 to 774 of the family's 1533-position model. The record is from RNAcentral.
AUAUUGGACAAUGGGCGAAAGCCUGAUCCAGCCAUGCCGCGUGUGUGAAGAAGGUCUUCGGAUUGUAAAGCACCUUAAGUUGGGAGGAAGGGCAGUAAGUUAAUACCUUGCUGUUUUUACGUUACCAACAGAAUAAGCACCGGCUAACUUCGUGCCAGCAGCCGCGGUAAUACGAAGGGUGCAAGCGUUAAUCGGAAUUACUGGGCGUAAAGCGCGCGUAGGUGGUUCGUUAAGUUGGAUGUGAAAGCCCCGGGCUCAACCUGGGAACUGCAUCCAAAACUGGCGAGCUAGAGUAUGGCAGAGGGUGGUGGAAUUUCCUGUGUAGCGGUGAAAUGCGUAGAUAUAGGAAGGAACACCAGUGGCGAAGGCGACCACCUGGGCUAAUACUGACACUGAGGUGCGAAAGCGUGGGGAGCAAACA